This 301-nucleotide ribosomal RNA is filed under the name uncultured bacterium. RNAcentral's name for it is "partial 16S ribosomal RNA". It matches the Rfam family "Bacterial small subunit ribosomal RNA", at positions 509 to 807 of the family's 1533-position model. The record is from RNAcentral.
CAGUCGCCGCGGGAAUACGAAGGGUGCAAGCGUUACUCGGAAUUACUGGGCGUAAAGCGUGUGUAGGUGGUUGUUUAAGUCUGUCGUGAAAGCCCUGAGCUCAACCUGGGAAUUGCGAUGGAUACUGGGCGACUAGAGUGCGGUAGAGGAUAGUGGAAUUUCCGGUGUAGCAGUGAAAUGCGUAGAGAUCGGAAGGAACAUCUGUGGCGAAGGCGACUAUCUGGGCCAACACUAACACUGAGACACGAGAGCGUGGGGAGCAAACAGGAUUAGAUACCCCCGUAGUCCCUGUCUCUUAUAC